GUAUUGGCCUACCGUGGCAAUGACGGGUAACGGGGAAUUAGGGUUCGAUUCCGGAGAGGGAGCCUGAGAAACGGCUACCACAUCUAAGGAAGGCAGCAGGCGCGCAAAUUACCCAAUCCUAAUACAGGGAGGUAGUGACAAGAAAUAACAAUACAGGACUUUUUGGUUUUGUAAUUGGAAUGAGUUAAGUAUAAACCCCUUUACAAGUAUCAAUUGGAGGGCAAGUCUGGUGCCAGCAGCCGCGGUAAUUCCAGCUCCAAUAGCGUAUAUUAAAGUUGUUGCAGUUAAAAAGCUCGUAGUUGGAUUUCUGUUAAUAAUUUAUAUAAAAUAUUUUGAUGAAUAUUUAUAUAAUAUUAACAUAAUUCAUAUUACUAUAUAUUUUAGUAUAUGAAAUUUUACUUUGAGAAAAUUAGAGUGCUUAAAGCAGGCAUAUGCCUUGAAUACUCCAGCAUGGAAUAAUAUUAAAGAUUUUUAUCUUCCUUAUUGGUUCUAAGAUAAGAAUAAUGAUUAAUAGGGACAGUUGGGGGCAUUUGUAUUUAA
Molecule: ribosomal RNA, 540 nt
Filed under: Cryptosporidium parvum
Lineage: Eukaryota; Apicomplexa; Conoidasida; Eucoccidiorida; Cryptosporidiidae
Description: SSU rRNA
Rfam family: Eukaryotic small subunit ribosomal RNA
Source: RNAcentral